Monomorium pharaonis (pharaoh ant) is the source of this 1386-nucleotide long non-coding RNA. RefSeq lists it as uncharacterized. NCBI's taxonomy places the organism in Eukaryota, Metazoa, Arthropoda, Insecta, Hymenoptera, Formicidae. The transcript is spliced from 4 exons. The record is from RefSeq and is a predicted model, not a curated record.
UCGCCUCGUCGCCUGACGUCGCUCCCGAGGCGCUUCCCGCUGCUUCCCGCUUCGCGUUUUUCCGAGGAAACUUUUAAAUUGAACUCUCGACGCAAAUUCGCCACGGCAGUGGCGAAUCAAUUUCCCUCGGAUCUGUCUUCGAGCGAAGAGAGGAGGAUGUAUAUAUAUAUAUACAGAUUAUCGUCAAAGGAUCGGAAUUAAUUGCCGUUACGAAUUGUGGUUAGGCGCGCCCUCCAUGCAAAACGAGCGCUCUGAUAUACUCGCCAUGAAAAAUGCGCAGUAGCGGACGCACAAUAUAAAUAGCAGUAAUAUUUAUGUUCAGAGUAUCCUUGGAUCCAACAGGAUAUCGACGAAUAUUCAUCGUCACACCUAUACAAUAUCCAGCUAGUCGCGGGUUGGCAAAAUUCAAGAGAGAUCACGUCUUUUUCACUAUGAACCCGGAAACGCUUUGCCUACCCGAAGAGGCGGUGCUGGAAACCUACCGAGCGAUAUAUAACUACGAGAUUGAGGAAGCUCGAAAAAUUAUCAGGGCGUAUUCCAGGAAACUCAGUGGGACAAUCUUUGACGUUCGAAAAUGUUCACAAUUUACUUCUUGACGCAUUUAACGGAGCCACGAGCCCGGGUUUUUUUAACGGCGACCUUCCCUUGGUAAGUAAAGAAGACUGAAUGCCAAGUAGAAUUAAGUGAUGAUUAUUAGUACCAAACUUUUCUUCAUGAAUAACGAAUGGUAUGAAUAAUUGAUAAAUCACACGGUGGACGGCAUGAUGAAUGGAGUACAUAAAAGUCCAAACGAAGUGAAAGACCUUCCGUUUGGCGCUCCUUCUUUUUUCGUUGGAAGAUUUUAUAAACAUUUUAUUAUCGUCGAUACAAACACGUAUGAAGACGAUGUCUAUAAAGCUUCGAACAUCUGGAAGAUUGCCAUACGGAUGAACGCGCUCGCGCAAGAAGCACGAAGGUUUAAUCCCUUCAACUUCGUGUAAAAUCAAAAGGCAGCGACCCCGGGGUCAUCGUCUACAUACACGAUAUUCAACCGUAAAAGGGUUAAACCUGCUAGAAAUUUCGUAUGAUAUUAUCUCGACGACGGCCGGCGCUCGCACGUCAGUGAAAAGCGAUGUUUCCAAGAUAUUAUUUCUGCUUCCGCCCUUCUAUUUCGUUAUUCCUUUAAACGGCAGCCUUUUAACCGUAACCCCGCAUACAUUUAUUUCUCUUUCCCUCCGACCUGGCGCUCGUUUAAAUCUGUGAAAUUAUUCCGCGUUACUUGCACGUAACGUGCACGUAACAUUAUUUAUCAACCGUCUGACUGGCGGCACCCGGGAUAAGAAGUGAAAAAAAAAAGUUUAUCGUAAUGAGCGGUGAUCUAUGUAUUCAGGCACGGACUGCAGACGA